Heterocephalus glaber (naked mole-rat) is the source of this 881-nucleotide non-coding RNA. NCBI's taxonomy places the organism in Eukaryota, Metazoa, Chordata, Mammalia, Rodentia, Bathyergidae. The record is from RefSeq and is a predicted model, not a curated record.
UUCAGUGAUUCAUAAACAAAUGAAAGUCUCUGAUAAGCCCUGCGGGGAGGAAAGAAAUCUGUGCAUGAUUCUGUUUCACCUGGCAUCUUCUAAAACUCCGGACUUCCCUUCCUCCAUUACUCAGACAUCUAACAACACCUUAUAGAGGUAUUGUUCAGGAAAUACUGGCAUAGUCCACCUCUUUGUAAACAGACAAGCUCAGGCCCUAGAGGUGGUGGAAUUUGGCCAGUGCCACGCAAUCAGAGGUAUAUCAAGCCAUCCUAACCCAGAACUGCCCAGGCAGGCCUGCCUUCAAAACUCAGUUACUGCCACAGAGAAACGGACAAUCACAGGUGGAGAAGUUGAGGCAUCAAGAUGUGUCCAAAGCCUCCAGAUAAAAUUAGGAAGGCUGCCAGACCCCACCUGUGGAUACCAUGUAUCUUCACGGGAAGAUGGAAGCAAAGCCCUCCAGAAGGGCCAGCGGGAGUGGGAGGCUUAGAAGCCCAUGAGAUGAAACUGUGAGUGAACAAGGGCAGGAAGCAAGGUGAUAAUAGUCACGCUGUGUACAGAGUGUCAGGCAGGCACUCCCAUUGGCUCCACUUUGUAAACAUUCUGAAUACGUUAUCAUCGGUUGUCUGCAUGGACUAAAUCUUCCCUACAGCCUUGGAGGAUAGGUAUUUUUAGGAUCCCUCUUCUGUCAUAGGGGAAACUGAAGCUCAGAGUCGUGAAAAGAUUUUCCUGUCCAUGUCUAUCCAGCUAAUGGACAGCAGUGCUGGGAUUUGAACCCAGGUUCCUAGGAGCAUCUGUCAUUUAUUAUUUAUUGGGAACCUUCCUAUGUGUCCCAUACUAUUGUUAUCACAAUACUGCUUUUACAACAAUAAAGACAAUCCUGCUUGCUUGUA